This 406-nucleotide ribosomal RNA is filed under the name uncultured Actinomycetes bacterium. RNAcentral's name for it is "bacterial SSU rRNA". It matches the Rfam family "Bacterial small subunit ribosomal RNA", at positions 9 to 416 of the family's 1533-position model. Lineage: Bacteria; Bacillati; Actinomycetota; Actinomycetes. The record is from RNAcentral.
GAGUUUGAUCCUGGCUCAGGACGAACGCUGGCGGCGUGCUUAACACAUGCAAGUCGAGCGGAAAGGCCCUUUCGGGGGUACUCGAGCGGCGAACGGGUGAGUAACACGUGAGUAACCUGCCCCAGUCUUUGGGAUAACCCUCGGAAACGAGGGCUAAUACCGGAUAUGACAUUCCACCGCAUGGUGUGGGUGUGGAAAGUUUUUCGGUCUGGGAUGGGCUCGCGGCCUAUCAGCUUGUUGGUGGGGUGAUGGCCUACCAAGGCGACGACGGGUAGCCGGCCUCGAGAGGGCGACCGGCCACACUGGGACUGAGACACGGCCCAGACUCCUACGGGAGGCAGCAGUGGGGAAUAUUGCACAAUGGGCGGAAGCCUGAUGCAGCGACGCCGCGUGAGGGAUGACGGCC